RNAcentral lists this non-coding RNA (148 nucleotides) under Gorilla gorilla gorilla (western lowland gorilla). Lineage: Eukaryota; Metazoa; Chordata; Mammalia; Primates; Hominidae. The record is from Rfam by way of RNAcentral.
GCUGGGUGUGGUGGUGCGUGCCUGUAAUCCCAGCUAUUUGGGAGGCUGAGGCAGGAGAAUUGCUUGAACCCAGGAAGCAGAGGUUGCAGUGAGCUGAGAUCAUGCCACUGCACUCCAGCCUGGGUGACAGAGUAAGACUCUGUCUCAA